RNAcentral lists this ribosomal RNA (221 nucleotides) under Bacteroides hominis. RNAcentral's name for it is "partial 16S ribosomal RNA". It matches the Rfam family "Bacterial small subunit ribosomal RNA", at positions 1 to 205 of the family's 1533-position model. Lineage: Bacteria; Pseudomonadati; Bacteroidota; Bacteroidia; Bacteroidales; Bacteroidaceae. The record is from RNAcentral.
CUUUUACAAUGAAGAGUUUGAUCCUGGCUCAGGAUGAACGCUAGCUACAGGCUUAACACAUGCAAGUCGAGGGGCAUCAGGAAGAAAGCUUGCUUUCUUUGUUGGCGACCGGCGCACGGGUGAGUAACACGUAUCCAACCUGCCCUUUACUCGGGGAUAGCCUUUCGAAAGAAAGAUUAAUACCCGAUAGUAUAAUUAUUCCGCAUGGUUUGAUUAUUAAA